This 456-nucleotide ribosomal RNA is filed under the name Theileria orientalis. RNAcentral describes it as "SSU rRNA". It matches the Rfam family "Eukaryotic small subunit ribosomal RNA", at positions 486 to 984 of the family's 1831-position model. Lineage: Eukaryota; Apicomplexa; Aconoidasida; Piroplasmida; Theileriidae. The record is from RNAcentral.
CGGGGCUUAAUGUCUUGUAAUUGGAAUGAUGGGAAUUUAAACCUCUUCCAGAGUAUCAAUUGGAGGGCAAGUCUGGUGCCAGCAGCCGCGGUAAUUCCAGCUCCAAUAGCGUAUAUUAAAAUUGUUGCAGUUAAAAAGCUCGUAGUUGAAUUUCUGCUGCAUUUCAUUUCUCUUUCUGAGUUUGUUUUUGCGGCUUAUUUCGGUUUGAUUUUUUCUUUCCGGAUGAUUACUUUGAGAAAAUUAGAGUGUUCAAAGCGGGCCUACGCCCGAAUAUAUUAGCAUGGAAUAAUAAAAUAGGACGUGCGGUUCUAUUUUGUUGGUUAUAGAACCGCCGUAAUGAUUAAUAGGGACGAUUGGGGCCAUUAGUAUUCACAUGCUAGAGGUGAAAUUCUAGGAUUUUGUGAAGACUAACUACUGCGAAAGCAUUUGGCAAGGGCGUUUUCAUUAAUCAAGAAC